RNAcentral lists this ribosomal RNA (258 nucleotides) under Pantoea ananatis. RNAcentral's name for it is "partial 16S ribosomal RNA". It matches the Rfam family "Bacterial small subunit ribosomal RNA", at positions 548 to 794 of the family's 1533-position model. Lineage: Bacteria; Pseudomonadati; Pseudomonadota; Gammaproteobacteria; Enterobacterales; Erwiniaceae. The record is from RNAcentral.
GGGGGACGUAUCGGAUUACUGGGCGUAAGCGCACGCAGGCGGUCUGUUAAGUCAGAUGUGAAAUCCCCGGGCUUAACCUGGGAACUGCAUUUGAAACUGGCAGGCUUGAGUCUCGUAGAGGGGGGUAGAAUUCCAGGUGUAGCGGUGAAAUGCGUAGAGAUCUGGAGGAAUACCGGUGGCGAAGGCGGCCCCCUGGACGAAGACUGACGCUCAGGUGCGAAAGCGUGGGGAGCAAACAGGAUUAGAUACCCUGGUAAA